Molecule: ribosomal RNA, 443 nt
Filed under: Candidatus Omnitrophota bacterium
Lineage: Bacteria; Pseudomonadati; Candidatus Omnitrophota
Description: bacterial SSU rRNA
Rfam family: Bacterial small subunit ribosomal RNA
Source: RNAcentral
CCUUUGGAGGGUUUGAUCCUGGCUCAGAGUGAACGCUGGCGGCGUGGAUUAGGCAUGCAAGUCGAGCGAUCGAAAUUUUGAAGCAAUUGAAGUCUUCGGACUGAUUUUGUGGAUGAAUUUCUGAUAGCGGCAAACGGGUGAGUAACACGUGGGUAAUCUGCCCUAGAGAGGAGGAUAGCUUCGAGAAAUCGGAGGUAAUACUCCAUACAGUUUCAGCAUUAAUUUGUUGAAAUCAAAGAUGGCUUAGGACUUCGGUCCGCUGUCGCUUUAGGAGGGGCCCGCGGCCUAUCAGGUAGUUGGUAGAGUAAUAGCCUACCAAGCCAGAGACGGGUAGCUGGCAUUAGCGUGUGGUCAGCCACAUCGGGACUGAGACACUGCCCGGACUCCUACGGGAGGCUGCAGUCGAGAAUCUUUCCCAAUGGGCGAAAGCCUGAGGAUGCGAC